AUAGCAGUGAUGAGGUAAAACACAUGAGGAUGUGUUAAGGGAAGUGGUCAAGACGAUUAAAACCGUUUUGCCGUGAUCCCCAAUUUAAACGACUUCUCCUUCCACUGAGCUUU
Non-coding RNA from Helianthus annuus (common sunflower), 113 nucleotides. The record is from Rfam. Lineage: Eukaryota; Viridiplantae; Streptophyta; Magnoliopsida; Asterales; Asteraceae.